UACGGGGGGGGCAAGCGUUGUUCGGAAUUACUGGGCGUAAAGGGCUCGUAGGCGGCCUGCUAAGUCGGACGUGAAAUCCCUCGGCUCAACCGGGGAACUGCGUCCGAUACUGGCGAGGCUUGAAUCCGGGAGAGGGAUGUGGAAUUCCAGGUGUAGCGGUGAAAUGCGCAGAUAUCAGGAAGAACACCCGUGGCGAAGGCGGCUCUCUGGGACGGUACUGACGCUGAGACGCGAAAGCGUGGGGAGCGAACAGG
This 254-nucleotide ribosomal RNA is filed under the name uncultured bacterium. RNAcentral's name for it is "partial 16S ribosomal RNA". It matches the Rfam family "Bacterial small subunit ribosomal RNA", at positions 524 to 776 of the family's 1533-position model. The record is from RNAcentral.